GAUGAACGCUGGCGGCGUGCCUAAUACAUGCAAGUCGAGCGAACGGACGAGAAGCUUGCCUCUCUGAUGUUAGCGGCGGACGGGUAAGUAACACGUGGAUAACCUACCUAUAAGACUGGGAUAACUUCGGGAAACCGGAGCUAAUACCGGAUAAUAUUUUGAACCGCAUGGUUCAAAAGUGAAAGACGGUCUUGCUGUCACUUAUAGAUGGAUCCGCGCUGCAUUAGCUAGUUGGUAAGGUAACGGCUUACCAAGGCAACGAUGCAUAGCCGACCUGAGAGGGUGAUCGGCCACACUGGAACUGAGACACGGUCCAGACUCCUACGGGAGGCAGCAGUAGGGAAUCUUCCGCAAUGGGCGAAAGCCUGACGGAGCAACGCCGCGUGAGUGAUGAAGGUCUUCGGAUCGUAAAACUCUGUUAUUAGGGAAGAACAUAUGUGUAAGUAACUGUGCACAUCUUGACGGUACCUAAUCAGAAAGCCACGGCUAACUACGUG
RNAcentral lists this ribosomal RNA (497 nucleotides) under uncultured bacterium. Its description in RNAcentral is "partial 16S ribosomal RNA". It matches the Rfam family "Bacterial small subunit ribosomal RNA", at positions 28 to 507 of the family's 1533-position model. The record is from RNAcentral.